RNAcentral lists this small nucleolar RNA (64 nucleotides) under Anser cygnoides (Swan goose). RNAcentral describes it as "Small nucleolar RNA U54 (ENSACDG00005015988.1)". It matches the Rfam family "Small nucleolar RNA U54". The record is from Rfam by way of RNAcentral. Lineage: Eukaryota; Metazoa; Chordata; Aves; Anseriformes; Anatidae.
UGGCUAUGAAGAGAACUUAGACGUGAAUCACAGUGAUCGCUCUAUACGCUAUUCCGAGCCAACG